RNAcentral lists this ribosomal RNA (466 nucleotides) under uncultured bacterium. RNAcentral's name for it is "partial 16S ribosomal RNA". It matches the Rfam family "Bacterial small subunit ribosomal RNA", at positions 28 to 507 of the family's 1533-position model. The record is from RNAcentral.
GACGAACGCUGGCGGCGUGCUUAACACAUGCAAGUCGAACGGAAAGGCCCUGCUUGCAGGGUACUCGAGUGGCGAACGGGUGAGUAACACGUGGGUGAUCUGCCCUGCACUUCGGGAUAAGCUUGGGAAACUGGGUCUAAUACCGGAUAGGAGCCAUCUUUAGUGUGGUGGUUGGAAAGUUUUUUCGGUGUAGGAUGAGCUCGCGGCCUAUCAGCUUGUUGGUGGGGUAAUGGCCUACCAAGGCGGCGACGGGUAGCCGGCCUGAGAGGGUGUACGGCCACAUUGGGACUGAGAUACGGCCCAGACUCCUACGGGAGGCAGCAGUGGGGAAUAUUGCACAAUGGGCGCAAGCCUGAGGCAGCGACGCCGCGUGGGGGAUGAAGGCCUUCGGGUUGUAAACUCCUUUCGCUAGGGACGAAGCUUUGUUGUGACGGUACCUAGAUAAGAAGCACCGGCUAACUACGUG